RNAcentral lists this ribosomal RNA (507 nucleotides) under uncultured bacterium. RNAcentral's name for it is "partial 16S ribosomal RNA". It matches the Rfam family "Bacterial small subunit ribosomal RNA", at positions 29 to 523 of the family's 1533-position model. The record is from RNAcentral.
AGUGAACGCUGGCGGUAGGCCUAACACAUGCAAGUCGAACGGUAGCACAGAGGAGCUUGCUCCUUGGGUGACGAGUGGCGGACGGGUGAGGAAUGCAUCGGAAUCUACUCUUUCGUGGGGGAUAACGUAGGGAAACUUACGCUAAUACCGCAUACGACCUACGGGUGAAAGCAGGGGACCUUCUAGGCCUUGCGCGAUUGAAUGAGCCGAUGUCCGAUUAGCUAGUUGGCGGGGUAAUGGCCCACCAAGGCGACGAUCGGUAGCUGGUCUGAGAGGAUGAUCAGCCACACUGGAACUGAGACACGGUCCAGACUCCUACGGGAGGCAGCAGUGGGGAAUAUUGGACAAUGGGCGCAAGCCUGAUCCAGCCAUACCGCGUGGGUGAAGAAGGCCUUCGGGUUGUAAAGCCCUUUUGUUGGGAAAGAAAAGCAGCCGGCUAAUACCCGGUUGUUCUGACGGUACCCAAAGAAUAAGCACCGGCUAACUUCGUGCCAGCAGCCGCCGUAA